GCAGCUAUACCCAAGUGGUUACGGGGUGCCACUCAAGAAACUUUCUCUUCUGAGCUUCUUCCAGCGAUUGCUGGAGUCUUGGCAUGCAUAUGCAUCCUGGGUUCGAACCCCAGUGGCUGCA
Molecule: non-coding RNA, 121 nt
Organism: Apiotrichum porosum
Lineage: Eukaryota; Fungi; Basidiomycota; Tremellomycetes; Trichosporonales; Trichosporonaceae
Source: the annotation of a RefSeq genome assembly